AGAUCUUCAAAAAUAUCAAAUUCAACCUGUUCUUUAAUCUGGCCUUUCUUUGAAUCUCUCCUUUCUUUGUAGACAUGUCCACUAGUCCUUAACCUGAUUUAUGUGAUUGGUCAAUUGUGAGUUAAUGAAGGGGAUAAAAUGUUUUCUGGAAUGCUGGGAUAAUCGACAAAUAGCAAUGACCAGUAACUGGACCACGGCCAAGACAGGAACUUAAUCCCCUGAAGUCCAAGGGUAUUGUGAAGUUGCACUGAAGUGGGAACUGAAAGAAACCAGUUACAUCAUUCCAUUUGUUUCCUUAGAUUGGGACAAAUGCACUCACUCCAGUAAGCAUAUUUGAAGACUAAUUAUACAAGGAGAAAACAAGAUAGGAUGGAAUUUCUCUACUUUGGGGCACGUGAUUUCAAGUGUGGUUUAAGGGUUUAAUCCUCUUCUUUUCUAGCAACUUUUUACUGUUUGAUGCAGUCAGUAUGGGUUAUUUCUUCCAGAGGUCACACACUCUCGCCCCCUACCUCUGCUUUCCUUAAUGAUGCGGAGCAGCUCCCUAGCCCCCUGUCAAACAUUUUGCCUGAAUUCUCAGUGGCAACACAAGAGCUGAAUGGUUCAGCUGCAAGGAUUAAAGAGGAAGGGAAGAAAAGAAAAAGCCCUGAAAUGUCUCACAGGGAUGAGACAUUGGAAUGAAUUUUCUACUCACUUGUGGAGGCCAACUCCUCCAGGCAGAGCUGCUCUCACAGCAACACAGCCCUGGUGAAGGUUCUGUCUUACACCAACAGAUGGAGAGAAAAUGCUCCCAUCUCAAGUACACACUGGUCACGGACAGCAAAAUGAAAAAUGGAGGCAGAUUAGGCCAAAGUGGUCGCUGCUUUCUCUCGUUCUCAACUCAGCUUCCUCCUCUUUCUCCAUAUUAACCUGUUUCAUUGUACAUCUCCUGCUUAGUAUUAAGGAAGCAAGCUGUGCAGUUAUAUUAAAUGAUAGCAAUUGACCCCAAACUUCCCCUGCUUUUUAAA
Molecule: long non-coding RNA, 1004 nt
Organism: Oxyura jamaicensis (ruddy duck)
Lineage: Eukaryota; Metazoa; Chordata; Aves; Anseriformes; Anatidae
Exons: 2
Source: RefSeq, a predicted model, not a curated record